Molecule: ribosomal RNA, 1599 nt
Filed under: Gorsachius goisagi (Japanese night-heron)
Lineage: Eukaryota; Metazoa; Chordata; Aves; Pelecaniformes; Ardeidae
Description: 16S ribosomal RNA
Rfam family: Bacterial large subunit ribosomal RNA (bases 83-1520)
Source: RNAcentral
GCCUAAACCUAGCCCAACCACACACAACCAAUUACCUAAAAAAUCCAUCUCAACCACAAAACUAAAGCAUUAUCUAAACUUAGUAUAGGCGAUAGAAAAGUAACCCAUUGGCGCAAUAGAAAGCUGUACCGUAAGGGACAGAUGAAAUAACAAUGAAAAAUUUAAGCGAUAAACAGCAAAGAUAAACCCUUGUACCUUUUGCAUCAUGAUUUAGCAAGAACAACCAAGCAAAACGAACUUAAGCUUGCCCUCCCGAAACCCAAGCGAGCUACUCACAGGCAGCUAUUUUGAGCGAACCCGUCUCUGUUGCAAAAGAGUGGGACGACCUGUCAGUAGAGGUGAAAAGCCAAUCGAGCUGGGUGAUAGCUGGUUGCCCGUGAAAUGAAUCUAAGUUCUGCCUUAGCAAUUUCUUUUUUCCCCCCGAACAUUAACAAUCACUCUUAACGUGGUAAAGCUAAGAGUAAUUUAAAGGAGGUACAGCUCCUUUAAAAAAGAAUACAACCUCUCCUAGCGGAUAAACCUCUUUUCCCCCCAUCCUGUAGGCCUUAAAGCAGCCAUCAAUAAAGAAUGCGUCAAAGCUCACUCACCUAAAAAUCCAAAAACACUAUGACUCCCUCACCCCUAACGGGCUAACCUAUGAUCUAUAGGAGAAUUAAUGCUAAAAUAAGUAACUCGGAACCCAUCCUCUCAAGCGCAAACUUACACCCACAAUUAUUAACAGACUAGCUAAUACUGCAACCUAACAAGCCCAAAUAUUAACCUUAUUCCGUUACCCCAACACUGGAGCGCUCGUUAAGAAAGAUUAAAAUCUGUAAAAGGAACUAGGCAAACUCAGGGCCCGACUGUUUACCAAAAACAUAGCCUUCAGCCGACCAAGUAUUGAAGGUGAUGCCUGCCCAGUGACACAUGUUCAACGGCCGCGGUAUCCUAACCGUGCAAAGGUAGCGCAAUCAAUUGUCCCAUAAAUCGAGACUUGUAUGAACGGCUAAACGAGGUCCUAACUGUCUCUUACAGAUAAUCGGUGAAAUUGAUCUUUCUGUGCAAAAGCAGAAAUAAACACAUAAGACGAGAAGACCCUGUGGAACUUUAAAAAUUAGCGGCCACUUCAUAGAACACAUCAACCCUAAUAGGCCUACUUACCCCACAAAUACUGGUCCGCAUUUUUCGGUUGGGGCGACCUUGGAGAAAAACAAACCCUCCAAAAACAAGACCAUACCUCUUAACCAAGAGUAACACCUCCACGUGCUAACAGCAACCAGACCCAAUAUAAUUGAUUAAUGAACCAAGCUACCCCAGGGAUAACAGCGCAAUCUCCUCCAAGAGCCCAUAUCGACAAGGGGGUUUACGACCUCGAUGUUGGAUCAGGACAUCCUAAUGGUGCAGCCGCUAUUAAGGGUUCGUUUGUUCAACGAUUAACAGUCCUACGUGAUCUGAGUUCAGACCGGAGCAAUCCAGGUCGGUUUCUAUCUAUGACGAACUUACCCUAGUACGAAAGGACCGGGAAAGUGAGGCCAAUACCACAAGCACGCCUCCCCCCAAUUAAUGAAACCAACUAAAUUACCAAAAGGACGCCCACCACCAUACCCAAGAUAAGGGUCA